CUAACGUACUUAUUAGUCUUGGACCAGACCUGGCAAGACAACAAAAUAUUCACACUUCUGGUGAGCAAACAGUAGUCCUUCAAUUCAACAAAACUUUCCACUGAUAAUAAAAGCAGUAUUUUUGAGCAUUUUAUUUGAGGAUCUCUUUUUGAUUAAAUGAGAUAAAAGUUUGUUUUGCUUGAAAUGCCUGAAUGUCAAGUCUUCUUAAAACCUUUGUGAAAUUCAAGACAAAAUAUAAUUGCUUAGUUUCCUGGGAAAACUUUGUAUAACUGCUGCAAACUGCUGACUAUUCCCAUACAUGACAUCCCAUAAUUUGAGUUCCGUCUCAUUCUCUAGCGGUUAUGUAUCACAGAGACAACAUCAACAGUAAGCCUGUCCUCCAAGUGAACUGAGCUCUGUGCCCUGACGAAGCGAAGGGGAACAACAGCCCUUAUGGCUAUGGGACAGGUAAAUUGCACGGGGAGACAAGGAGCUGUUUGUGUGAGACAGUAACAUGACACUUUCUAAUGCAGGAAGUGAUUUUUUUUUCUCCCACUGUAAAAUAAAGAAUCAGACCCUGAAAGGAGGGAUCGUUAUAGAAACAAUACUGGCACCUUUGUGUCUGUUAAGGUGUUAGAACAAGGUGAUGUAUGACUGACAAGCAAUAUGUUCCCAAGCCAUGCGUGUCUCAUCGUGUAUAAAAGUUCACCGCAGUUUGAGCAGCAGUGGCAAUAUUACCAUUCAACAUGGUAUGGUACAAGAAAAUUGCCCUUGGAGCUUGCCCAGGCAGUAACUGAGCUGUGGAAGUGUAACAGACUUCUGUGUACAAGUCGCUGCAAAGGAGACCUGGAAGGAAAUUUAAAGUUCUCCUCUUUCCUGUUUAUAAUUGCUUGUUGCAUCGGAUAACACUGUCAAACUAAAGCUACAGAUCUGAAUCCAGCAUGCAUUGUAAUUUGCAUUCAGGUAUACAAUUGUACCUGGUUGCGACUCAUCAGCUUCCCUCCUUUCCUUCCCUGGAAGAAAUCUCUUUUUGAUCACUGAAAAUAAACACCAGCACCGUCCCAAUGAUUAAAUCUCCGUCUUAAUGUCUGAGCUUUAUGUCCAGUUUAGCAAGGCAGUCAUGUAGAGAGAUGAGGGAUAUGGUGCUUUCUUAGAGGUUUGGCUCGAGACUUGAUAGGCCUCUGUGGCAUGUAACUGUACCCAAACAUAAAAAGCUCCUCUGCCUUACCAUAUAGCCACCUUGGCAGUGCUGGUGUUAUGCUAACAUAUCACGUCAUAGCACCAUCCUGUAAUGCCAAGAAGCAGACACACUAAUGAUUUCUGCUGUGUGAAGAUGGAUGUGAUCUUGAUGAGUAACAUGACCAUGAUACGGAUAACAUAUGUUCUGUUGCUUCUUCCCCAGAUCAGGAGGUUGAAGGAUGAUGAAGUGUUAAGAUGCCAGAUCCCUGAAAGAAAGCCGGGUGAUAGUAGAGAGAAAGAAGCGGGAGCAGAGGGAGAAGAAAAAGGAAUGGGAGGGCAGGUCCACACACAAACAAUGUUCAGCGGGCCUGUGUGACGCAACUGCAAAGUGCACUCUGAACAUGAUGCUUGAUUUUGCUCCUCUCCCACAGAGCUGAAAUUUAUCCAGCAGCAAUGUCAGCUAGCCAGGAUGCUAAACAGUCCCAGGUGCUGUCAGAGCUAAGCUAACACAAUAGGCCCACCUAAACUGUAAGGCCUUUGGUUUCACCUCAAGCUGCAGGCACCUCUCACUUAAGCAUCCAAACUAUAACAUGAAAGUAAUGGGCUAAGUAAUUGAGCUAACCUUUGUGCACUCAUACCCUGUCAUGCAUAACAUCUAUAUUUCAACUACUAUGAAUCUCAGUUACAUUUCUAUGUUUUAUGGGCAGGGACUGUUUUGUUUCGUUAAGUCCUCUGUAAGCUUGUUCAAUGGAGGUGCUCAGUGCUUGCUGCCAAUCACUUGGGUAGGUUUAAUAUAACUAAAGGAUGCCAAACCCAAAACCACUCUAGAUAAAUUUGUUGGCUUUUGUAAAUCCUGCUCCUGUUUAACCAGUAAGGUUAAGGCAUUUUGUUGAACUUCCUACAUUACACACAAUACUUCCUGUUUCUGUUUUAGAAAUAUAUGUGUCUGCGUGAUAAAAGAAGCAGAACAAACUUGACUUUUUGUUUGAGUUUCUGCUCUGAAUUUGAUACACACUUUUAAUCUUCAGCAACUGAGCGCGGUGCAAAACCAGAGCUGUGCAGCUGCUACUUUGAUGCUUGUAAUCCUCCUGUUUGUCAGGUGUGGGUAGCAUUGGAGUCAGUAUGGUAUCUGCACUGCUUAAAUGGCUAUUUGCCAGCAGUAUGUGAGGGCAGUGUGAUUGCAGACAUAAGCAGGUGAAGGGAGGGGUGCAGUGACUACGUGCUUGCAGAGUGGUUUUACAGAGGCCAGGUUAAGGGGACAGAGGAAGAGAAAGAGCAGAGGAUAGAUCAUGAUAAACUACGCUCUGCCACCAUGCUCUGACUAUAGAUAUGUCAUUCACAUUAUGCACAAAUGCAUACCAAGAAUGAGGUAAACAAUAUACUAUAGUUCGCACCAUCAGAGCCCUUCUUAUAUUCCGAAAGUCAUAGAAACUCGCCACCUCUGCACCUACAACCUUUUAACCACUCUUAUCUUUUCUUCCUUUUCCUUUUUUUCUUUUAGUUCUAGGAGACCAGCGGUUCUAGAUAGCAGCCAAAAUCCCUCGAUGACAUCAUUGUUUCCACUGCUACCACAUUACCCUAAAAAUCUUUUCAACAGUGUUGUUAUCUCCUCUGGCACCAGGCCAAUCAUUUGUUGAUGGUGCUCUUUGUCACUCCAUCCCCUAGUAGGAAACAUAAGCAUCCUUAUACAGUGUAUACACACACACACACACACACACAAGCAUACUCGCUGCCACCUCUGCCAUGGAGAAUGAGCCAAUGUCUGCAGUAAGCAGACUUUGUGAAAACAUG
Long non-coding RNA from Haplochromis burtoni (Burton's mouthbrooder), 2949 nucleotides. RefSeq lists it as uncharacterized. The transcript is spliced from 3 exons. The record is from RefSeq and is a predicted model, not a curated record. NCBI's taxonomy places the organism in Eukaryota, Metazoa, Chordata, Actinopteri, Cichliformes, Cichlidae.